AACAGUGACUAAUACCGGAUAAAACCUAAGUGCACAUGCACUAAGGUUAAAAGCUGCGUUUGCAGCGCUUUAAGAUGGAUUCGCGGUGCAUUAGUUAGUUGGUGAGGUAAAGGCUCACCAAGACGAUGAUGCAUAGCCGAGUUGAGAGACUGACCGGCCACAUUGGGACUGAGACACGGCCCAAACUCCUACGGGAGGCUGCAGUAGGGAAUCUUCCACAAUGGGCGCAAGCCUGAUGGAGCAACGCCGCGUGUGUGAUGAAGGCUUUCGGGUCGUAAAGCACUGUUGUAUGGGAAGAACGGGUUUAAGAGGAAAUGCUUAGACAGUGACGGUACCAUACCAGAAAGGGACGGCUAAAUACGUGCCAGCAGCCGCGGUAAUACGUAUGUCCCGAGCGUUAUCCGGAUUUAUUGGGCGUAAAGCGAGCGCAGACGGUUGCUUAAGUCUGAAGUGAAAGCCCACAGCUCAACUGUGGAAUGGCUUUGGAAACUGGGCAACUUGAGUGCAGUAGAGGUAAGUGGAACUCCAUGUGUAGCGGUGGAAUGCGUAGAUAUAUGGAAGAACACCAGUGGCGAAGGCGGCUUACUGGACUGCAACUGACGUUGAGGCUCGAAAGUGUGGGUAGCAAACAGGAUUAGAUACCCUGGUAGUCCACACCGUAAACGAUGGAUACUAGUUGUUAGAGGGUUUCCGCCCUUUAGUGACGAAGCAAACGCAUUAAGUAUCCCGCCUGGGGAGUACGACCGCAAGGUUGAAACUCAAAGGAAUUGACGGGGACCCGCACAAGCGGUGGAGCAUGUGGUUUAAUUCGAAGCAACGCGAAGAACCUUACCAGGUCUUGACAUCCUUUGAAGGUACUAGAGAUAGUACUGUCUUCUUCGGAAGCAAAGUGACAGGUGGUGCAUGGCCGUCGUCAGCUCGUGUCGUGAGAUGUUGGGUUAAGUCCCGCAACGAGCGCAACCCUUAUGUUUAGUUGCCAGCAUUCAGUUGGGCACUCUAGACAGACUGCCGGUGACAAACCGGAGGAAGGCGGGGACGACGUCAGGUCAUCAUGCCCCUUAUGACCUGGGCUACACACGUGCUACAAUGGCGUAUACAACGAGCAGCAAACCUGUGAAGGUAAGCGAAUCUCUUAAAGUACGUCUCAGUUCGGAUUGUAGUCUGCAACUCGACUACAUGAAGUCGGAAUC
This 1190-nucleotide ribosomal RNA is filed under the name Fructobacillus fructosus. Its description in RNAcentral is "bacterial SSU rRNA". It matches the Rfam family "Bacterial small subunit ribosomal RNA", at positions 155 to 1333 of the family's 1533-position model. The record is from RNAcentral. Lineage: Bacteria; Bacillati; Bacillota; Bacilli; Lactobacillales; Lactobacillaceae.